RNAcentral lists this ribosomal RNA (1447 nucleotides) under Lacticaseibacillus rhamnosus. RNAcentral describes it as "partial 23S ribosomal RNA". It matches the Rfam family "Bacterial large subunit ribosomal RNA", at positions 1 to 1458 of the family's 2925-position model. The record is from RNAcentral. Lineage: Bacteria; Bacillati; Bacillota; Bacilli; Lactobacillales; Lactobacillaceae.
GGUUAAGUUAAUAAGGGCGCACGGUGGAUGCCUUGGCACUAGAAGCCGAAGAAGGACGUGACAAACGACGAAAUGCUUUGGGGAGCUGUAAGUAAGCGCUGAUCCAGAGAUGUCCGAAUGGGGGAACCCACUAACUAAUGGUUAGUAUCCAUAACUGUUAAGGUUAUGAGAAGGAAGACGCAGUGAACUGAAACAUCUAAGUAGCUGCAGGAAGAGAAAGCAAACGCGAUUGCCUUAGUAGCGGCGAGCGAAACGGCAGGAGGGCAAACCGAAGUGUUUACACUUCGGGGUUGUAGGACUGCGACGUGGGACUUUAAAAGGAUAGAAGAAUUACCUGGGAAGGUAAGCCAAAGAGAGUAAAAGCCUCGUAUUUAAAAUUCUUUUGAGCCCUAGCAGUAUCCUGAGUACGGCGAGACACGUGAAAUCUCGUUGGAAUCUGGGAGGACCAUCUCCCAACCCUAAAUACUCUCUAGUGACCGAUAGUGAACCAGUACCGUGAGGGAAAGGUGAAAAGCACCCCGGGAGGGGAGUGAAAUAGAACCUGAAACCGUGUGCCUACAACAAGUUCGAGCCCGUUAAUGGGUGAGAGCGUGCCUUUUGUAGAAUGAACCGGCGAGUUACGAUAUGAUGCGAGGUUAAGUUGAAGAGACGGAGCCGUAGGGAAACCGAGUCUUAAUAGGGCGAUUUAGUAUCAUGUUGUAGACCCGAAACCAUGUGACCUACCCAUGAGCAGGUUGAAGGUGAGGUAAAACUCACUGGAGGACCGAACCAGGGCACGUUGAAAAGUGCUUGGAUGACUUGUGGGUAGCGGAGAAAUUCCAAACGAACUUGGAGAUAGCUGGUUCUCUCCGAAAUAGCUUUAGGGCUAGCGUCGAUGUUAAGUCUCUUGGAGGUAGAGCACUGUUUGGGUGAGGGGUCCAUCUCGGAUUACCAAUCUCAGAUAAACUCCGAAUGCCAACGAGAUAUCAUCGGCAGUCAGACUGCGAGUGCUAAGAUCCGUAGUCGAAAGGGAAACAGCCCAGACCACCAGCUAAGGUCCCAAAAUAACUGUUAAGUGGAAAAGGAUGUGGGGUUGCACAGACAACUAGGAUGUUAGCUUAGAAGCAGCUAUUCAUUCAAAGAGUGCGUAAUAGCUCACUAGUCGAGUGACCCUGCGCCGAAAAUGUACCGGGGCUAAAACAGUUUACCGAAGCUGUGGAUGACACAAAAGUGUCAUGGUAGGAGAGCGUUCUAUGUGUGAAGAAGGUGUACCGUGAGGAGCGCUGGAACGCAUAGAAGUGAGAAUGCCGGUAUGAGUAGCGAAAGACAGGUGAGAAUCCUGUCCACCGUAAGACUAAGGUUUCCAGGGGAAGGCUCGUCCGCCCUGGGUUAGUCGGGACCUAAGGAGAGACCGAAAGGUGUAUCCGAUGGCCAACAGGUUGAUAUUCCUGUACUAGAGUAUAUAGUA